Molecule: long non-coding RNA, 400 nt
Filed under: Vulpes vulpes (red fox)
Lineage: Eukaryota; Metazoa; Chordata; Mammalia; Carnivora; Canidae
Description: lncRNA (ENSVVUG00000026439.1)
Source: RNAcentral
GGAAAGACAUGAUCAACAGCUAAACUACAAGUCACUGUAGAUGGCAUUAAGUUUGGUAAAGGUGCUCUUAGGGACGGUGUCUGGGGAGACCCACUGCACAGAAAGGCCUUCUUGGGGAGGUAAAGCCAAAGGCCCAAGACAUGAUAAACAGCCUUCUGGGCUUGCAGAACCAGCUGGGAAGAUGAGGGCACAGACUCAGGAGGAGGAAGAUGAGGGCACAGACUCAGGAGGAGGGUUUGGCAUGUUCCAGAGAGAAGAAAACUCCCAGUACUGCCUAACGGAGAAUGGUCUUCCAACGUUGAUGAGGGGUCAUCUGCAUUACUUGGCACAUUCACUGUGACAUGGGCAGUAUGGAAGCCAAGGCUUGCUGUCUAAUAAAGACAUUCCCAAGACUUUAACA